GACGUUGAGCAAAUCCCAGAAAUAACGUCCCAGUUCGGAUUGUAGUCUGCAACCCGACUACAUGAAGCUGGAAUCGCUAGUAAUCGCGAAUCAGAAUGUCGCGGUGAAUACGUUCCCGGGUCUUGUACACACCGCCCGUCACACCAUGGGAGUCGGAAAUGCCCGAAGUCAGUGACCCAACCGUAAGGAGGGAGCUGCUGAAGGUGGAGCCGGUAACUGGGGGUGAAGUCGUAACAAGGUAGC
RNAcentral lists this ribosomal RNA (243 nucleotides) under uncultured bacterium. RNAcentral describes it as "partial 16S ribosomal RNA". It matches the Rfam family "Bacterial small subunit ribosomal RNA", at positions 1259 to 1500 of the family's 1533-position model. The record is from RNAcentral.